AGAGUUUGAUCAUGGCUCAGGACGAACGCUGGCGGCGUGCUUAACACAUGCAAGUCGAACGGGGAGNCUCCAGCUUGCUGGGGGGAUUAGUGGCGAACGGGUGAGUAACACGUGAGUAACCUGCCCUCGACUCUGGGAUAAGCGUUGGAAACGACGUCUAAUACCGGAUAUGACUUCUGACGGCAUCGUCUGGGAGUGGAAAGAUUUUUUGGUCAAGGGNGGACUCGCGGCCUAUCAGGUAGUUGGUGAGGUAAUGGCUCACCAAGCCGACGACGAGUAGCCGGCCUGAGAGGGUGACCGGCCACACUGGGACUGAGACACGGCCCAGACUCCUACGGGAGGCAGCAGUGGGGAAUAUGUGCACAAUGGGCGAAAGCCUGAUGCAGCAACGCCGCGUGAGGGACGACGGCCUUCGGGUUGUAAACCUCUUUUAGUUGGGACGAAGGGAGCUUGCUCUUGACGGUACCAGCAGAAUAAGCACCGGCUAACUACGUGCCAGCAGCCGCGGUAAUACGUAGGUUGCAAGCGUUGUCCGGAAUUAUUGGGCGUAAAGAGCUCGUAGGCGGUUUGUCGCGUCUGCUGUGAAAUCUGGGGGCCUCAACCCCCAGCCUGCAGUGGGUACGGGCAGACUAGAGUCGGUAGGGGAGAUUGGAAUUCCUGGUGUAGCGGUGGAAUGCGCAGAUAUCAGGAGGAACACCGAUGGCGAAGCAGAUCUCUGGCCGUUACUGACGCUGAGGAGCGAAAGCAUGGGGAGCGAACAGGAUUAGAUACCCUGGUAGUCCAUGCCGUAAACGUUGGGAACUAGAUGUAGGGGCCAUUCCACGGUUUCUGUGUCGCAGCUAACGCAUUAAGUUCCCCGCCUGGGGAGUACGGCCGCAAGGCUAAAACUCAAAUGAAUUGACGG
RNAcentral lists this ribosomal RNA (904 nucleotides) under uncultured bacterium. Its description in RNAcentral is "bacterial SSU rRNA". It matches the Rfam family "Bacterial small subunit ribosomal RNA", at positions 8 to 916 of the family's 1533-position model. The record is from RNAcentral.